AUCAACUGAAAUGAUUAUUAUGUGGUUUCUUUCCUUAUAUAAGUUUAUUUAUAUACUUACUGAUUUUUUAUAUGUUGAACUAAUGAAUCUUGCUUUUCAGCCCAUUUGGUCACAGUGGAAUUGUUCUCUUGCAUAGCCUUAUCUGUUAAUAAUGUCAUGUGUUUUUCAUUUGAUUAACCAUCUCCUUCAUUUCAAGUUCCCUUCCUUCAUUUUCCUUUUGUUUUUUUUUUAAUAAAAAAAACCUUGUAUUUACUUAGAAGCAUUCAGAAUGUCAACAAAACAGCUGCAAUUUUUUUUUUUUUUUUUGCAAUUACAGAGUGGUAUUCAGUUAACCGAACAACAAUUAUCUUCAUAUAAGCUGCAUCAGAGACAACUGAAGAUGAGAAAAAUAAAACCAAAAGAAAAAAAAACAAAAAACAAAAAAACCCAAAAGCCAAACUACUGUUCCCAUAUAUAACUAAUUUGUGCUGUGCACCACAAGAACCUGCUUUAAAUUUCUGUGCCAAUUUACAACCCCCAGACUAUACCAGCCAAGGUUAGUGGCUAUUGAAAAUACCACCGGGACAGGGCAUCUAAAGACACAUUCGGUAGUGUGUUAACUAUACUGAAAGGACACUGUACAGUUUAAAAACAAAUCUUACACAGCCUUACAUUUCAAGUUUUUUCUUUAAAAGGAGUGAGUACAGGGGGGGUUAAAUGCUUUAUAGCCAAGGAAAAAAAACUGCUAGAACCAACUUAUUCAUCAUCUUCUUCUUCAUCUUCCUCUUCUUCCUCAUCCUCAUCUUCCUUCUUUUUCUUGCUCUUUUCAGCCUUGACCACCCAUCUUUUUUGCUGCAUCAGGUUUUCCUUUAGCUCUGGAGGCAGCAAUAUCCUUCUCGUAUUUCUCCUUCAGCUUGGCAGCCUUCUUCUCUUAGGGCUGCUUGUCAUCCGCUGCAGGGUUGUUCCACAUCUCUCCUAGUUUCUUUGCAACAUCACCAAUGGAUAAGCCAGGAUGCUCACCUUUGAUUUGGGGGCGGUACUCAGAACAGAACAAGAAGGCUGAGAGAGGCCUCUUGGGUGCAUUGGGGUCCUUGAACUUCUUUUUGGUCUCCCCUUUGGAGGGGUGUAGGUUCUCAUUUCUCUUUCAUAACCAGCCUUGUCAGCCUUUGCCAUAUCUUCAAAUUUCCCCUUUUUCUUUAGCAGACAUGGUCUUCCACCUCUCUGGGGACUUCUUGGAGAGCUCUGAGAAGUUGACAGAAGCAUCCGGGUGCUGCUUCUUGUGCUCCUCCCGGCAGAUUUACACAAAGAAUGCAUAUGAGGACAUUUUGCCUCUCGGCUUCUUAGGAUCUCCUUUGCCCAUGUUUAGUUGAUUUUCCUCUGCGAGGCACAGAGUUGCUCAGUGCCUGUCUGGCUCGCGCUUGCCCUGGUGCUGUCUCUAUGGAGCUCAAUGUAUUGCAAUGGCUGUCUUGAUUGUUUUUCAAUGUUUCAAUCUCCUUGCUAAUUUUUUCCUCCACAUUUUAGAGUUUCACCUUCAAUUUAGUAACUUAACAUCACUUUGGAGACUGCCUUAUGAAAUGCUUGCAUAGAUUUUCUUAGUUUGUACAUCCUUUGUUUGAAUUUUCUAUGUCAUUGAUUCUUUAC
This 1620-nucleotide long non-coding RNA is filed under the name Mus musculus (house mouse). Its description in RNAcentral is "long non-coding RNA chr6:49079723-49081343". Lineage: Eukaryota; Metazoa; Chordata; Mammalia; Rodentia; Muridae. The record is from RNAcentral.